This is a small nuclear RNA of Heterocephalus glaber (naked mole-rat), 184 nucleotides long. Its record names the gene U4. It matches the Rfam family "U4 spliceosomal RNA". Rfam says of the family: U4 small nuclear RNA (U4 snRNA) is a component of the major U2-dependent spliceosome. The structure of U4 snRNA from yeast and human has been reported. U4 snRNA presents a k-turn RNA motif in the 5p-SL related to recognition of Snu13 protein. Lineage: Eukaryota; Metazoa; Chordata; Mammalia; Rodentia; Bathyergidae. The record is from Ensembl.
AGCUUUGUGCAGUGGCAGUAUCAUAGCCAAUGAGGUUUAUCCGAGGCGUGAUUAUUGCUAAUUGAAAAAGAUUUUGCACAGCAAAAGAAACCACUAACAGAGUGAAGAGACAAACCACAGCAUGGGAAAAUUUUACCAGCUAUUCAUCAGAUAAAGGACUGUUAUUUAUGAUCCCAAAAAUGGA